CAGGAUCUCUGCGGGGUCACGGGCUUGGCAUGGGGCGCUGGGAACCUCCGAAUGUGGGAGUCGUCCCACCUCGGGACACUGCGGGGACCAAGCCGCGAGCCAGCGGAUGAGCCAUUUGCACCGGCCGGGAGGUGAAACGGCGCUCUUACUCACUGAUGAGGCAGCGGGAGGAGCAGUGUCUGUGUGCAGGGCUCAGCCAAGGUCAGACACUCCUGGGUCAUCAGCACUGCUUUCAGCACAACUCCAAAACAGUCCCGCCCUGGCUCCUAUGGGCAGAAUGACCUCUAUCCCAGUCAAACCAGUACAGGACUCCAGGGAACCUGGAAGCGAGCAGCGACAUCCAGAAGAGUUUUGGAUUUGUCACUGUGAGCACCUCAGGCCGUAUGUGCACCCAGGCUGCCCAGCCGGCACCGCGGGCUGAACCGGCACCCGGGACGUCACCGGGCACCGGCGCGCUGCGUGACGCAGCCUGGCACGGAGGAGGAAUGCCCUGUGCUUUCCAUCCCAUGGGAGCGCUGAUUUGCCUCGGAGGGCGUCCUCGCCCGGCGCUGACUCAGCCUCAGCAGAACCGCUCCAGCACCCUCCAGCCGCCGUCAGCGGGGAGACGGGGAGGACGGGGCUGGGGAGCAGGAGGGUGGGAACAGCAGGACACCAUCGGGACACCCUCGGGAAGGCAGCACGGAGAAGGAGGUGGCAGCUGAUCCGGCCGACGAGGCUCCCACGCCGCAGGGCCAAUCCAGGUGGGUGGCAGAGGUGGUGCUGGUCCCGUGCUGGUCCAGUGCCAGCAGAGCGGGGCUGGGUGAAGGGGUCACAACCGUGUACCCCACGUACCUCUGGAGCAGCUCCUCCAGGCUGGAGGUGGCCUGGUGUGCCAUGUGAGCCUGGCUGGACUGCCCACCCCAGGAGGGAGAGGAGCUGGGGCCACGCUGGGCAAUGCCCAGAGCUUGGAUCGCUGAACUCCAGCUGGGUUUGGGGUAGGGGAUUGUAUUGCCGAGUUUUUGGGGCUGUUUGGAGGGCGGCUCCGCUCUCUCUGCUUGGCUCGGUGCAGCCCAGCUCGGUGUGGCCGUGCCAGCGCCGUGGCUCAGCUCUGCAGGAAUGUGGAGCAGCAGGUUGUGCCCGGCCGGGCUGUCCGUGCCGGGGAGGGGUCCCCACUCCAGCCACCGGUGGCUGUGCUGUGGCUCCCGUGUCCUUGUCCCUGGAUUUCACAGCCAUCUCCUCUGUGGCUUGGCUGAGCGUCUGGUACAAGGCUGAGCUCCAGUGCCUGACGUGGGGACAUUUUAUCACUUUGCCUUUCCUGGGGGACAGUUUUGCACCCCUGUGCUGAACCGGGGAGCCCUCCCUGUGCUGGGCACAGGUACAAGGGCAGCGAAGCUGGCCAUUGGCACAGGGGCUGGGCAGCACUGGACCCGAGGGGUUGGGCAGAGGGGUGCAGAAAGCUGCCCCAGGAAGGAGGCAGGAGGAUCUGUGACAGUGCUGGGACCGUUCCCAGCUGUCACCACGCCUGGCCGCCCCCCUGCAGACAUUUUCCAGGUCAGGAGGCAGCAUGUCCCCCCAGGCAGGGGAUGAGGACGGGGAGAGGGGCAGCCAGCCUCCUCCAUGGCCACUCGUCUGUCACAGCGUGUCAGGGGGAUGCACCGUGAGCUGUGCAGGGAUCCCGAUCCUGCUGGGGUGCAGAUUCUGGGGAAUCCGGCACCCGUGGGCUGGUAGGGGGUGCAGACGUGGCUCAGCUGUGUCUCAGCCACGGCUCGGCGGGGCUCUGGGUGCCAGGGCUGGCUGCUGCCGCUGGGACAGGCGCUGGGCUGCUCCCAGGAAGUUUGUACACGCAGGUGAGCGGGUGACGGUGGCAGCUGCCGGCUCGGGGCUGCCACGGGAGCGAGUGAGGCCGCAGCACACCGGCCCUGCCCUGCCCACCUCUGCAGCCGGUGAGUGCUGGGGCUUGCUGUCACAUCCUCGGGCUCACCAGUGCCCCGAAUCGGGACCCUCAGGAGGAAUCUCGGAGCAGAUUAGGAAAGGGGUUGGGGGAGAGGGUCUGACCCACGUAUGCUCCUGUGUGCCCUGCCGCUGCUGAGCCCCUCUGGGUAUUGGGGCUACUCUGGGGGUGUCCACCUCUGGUCAGGGGGCUGCAGAAGGGUGUAGGGCUGGUUUGGGUGCCCUCCCCCCCCUUUUCGCUGUGGGCGGGCUGGUGCGACCGUUGUGGCGGCUGCGCUUGUUGGGGUUGGCAGGGACCCAAGGACACGGGUGCACAGGGCCUCACGCUGCCCCGAGCAGCCGGGGAAGCACGAGUGGAAACCCCCGUGUGCUCCACUUACUUUCCAAGGAGCUCCAGGGUGAGAGCAGGGAGCCUGCGAGCAGCCUCGGAGCUUGCGAGAGCUGAGGGAACAGCAGAGGGAGCGGAGCGCGGAAUCCACCGGCCCGGCAGGGUGGUGGGUGAUGGAACCCUGGGCAUGGGGGAUGCACUCCUGGGGGCAGGCAAUGCACCCUCGGGCAUGGGGGAUGCAAGGAUGUAGAUGAGGCACCCCUGGGAGCAAUCAGUGCUCCCCUGGGAGUGGGACAUGCACGCCUGGGUGAAGGAAAUGCCCCCCUGGAUGUGGGCAGUGCACCCCUGAGCACGGACGAGGGGCACAUUCAAUGCCCCCCUUGAAGGGGGAGAUGCACCCCCGGCACCUGCGGCUCGGGCAGAGCAUCGGUGAGGGGUGCUCGGCUCUCUCCGCCCCCCU
This is an RNA transcript of Melospiza melodia melodia, 2717 nucleotides long. It is a transcript of the gene named family with sequence similarity 110 member A, with no coding region annotated. NCBI's taxonomy places the organism in Eukaryota, Metazoa, Chordata, Aves, Passeriformes, Passerellidae. The transcript is spliced from 3 exons. The record is from RefSeq and is a predicted model, not a curated record.